This 548-nucleotide ribosomal RNA is filed under the name Dothideomycetes sp. RNAcentral's name for it is "eukaryotic LSU rRNA". The stretch from base 201 to 354 matches the Rfam family "5.8S ribosomal RNA". Lineage: Eukaryota; Fungi; Ascomycota; Dothideomycetes. The record is from RNAcentral.
UUAGAGGAAGUAAAAGUCGUAACAAGGUUUCCGUAGGUGAACCUGCGGAAGGAUCAUUACCUAGAGUUGUAGGCUUUGCCUGCUAUCUCUUACCCAUGUCUUUUGAGUACCUUACGUUUCCUCGGUGGGUUCGCCCACCGAUUGGACAAACUUAAACCCUUUGCAGUUGAAAUCAGCGUCUGAAAAAACUUAAUAGUUACAACUUUCAACAACGGAUCUCUUGGUUCUGGCAUCGAUGAAGAACGCAGCGAAAUGCGAUAAGUAGUGUGAAUUGCAGAAUUCAGUGAAUCAUCGAAUCUUUGAACGCACAUUGCGCCCCUUGGUAUUCCAUGGGGCAUGCCUGUUCGAGCGUCAUUUGUACCUUCAAGCUCUGCUUGGUGUUGGGUGUUUGUCUCCUGUAGACUCGCCUUAAAACAAUUGGCAGCCGGCGUAUUGAUUUCGGAGCGCAGUACAUCUCGCGCUUUGCACUCAUAACGACGACAUCCAAAAGUACAUUUUUACACUCUUGACCUCGGAUCAGGUAGGGAUACCCGCUGAACUUAAGCAUA